GUAUUAUCAUCUUAGCAACACAUAUAUAAAAAGUUGGGAUGACACAGAGAUUAGCGUGACUCUCGUGCAAGGAUGGUAUGUAAAUUCAUGACGUGUUCCAUAUAUGU
Small nuclear RNA from Cricetulus griseus (Chinese hamster), 107 nucleotides. The record is from Ensembl. NCBI's taxonomy places the organism in Eukaryota, Metazoa, Chordata, Mammalia, Rodentia, Cricetidae.